UACAGAGGGUGCAAGCGUUAAUCGGAUUGACUGGGCGUAAAGGGCGCGUAGGUGGUUAUAUAAGUUGGUUGUGAAAGCCCUAGGCUUAACCUAGGAGUUGCAAUCAAGACUGUAUAUCUAGAGUACGGUAGAGGGGAGUGGAAUUUCCGGAGUAGCGGUGAAAUGCGUAGAUAUCUGGAGGAACACCGGUGGCGAAGGCGGCAUCCUGGACCGGUAUUGACGCUGAUGCGCGAAAGCCAGGGGAGCAAACGGG
RNAcentral lists this ribosomal RNA (253 nucleotides) under uncultured bacterium. Its description in RNAcentral is "partial 16S ribosomal RNA". It matches the Rfam family "Bacterial small subunit ribosomal RNA", at positions 524 to 776 of the family's 1533-position model. The record is from RNAcentral.